ACGCUGGCGGCAGGCCUAACACAUGCAAGUCGAGCGGUAGCACAGGAGAGCUUGCUCUCUGGGUGACGAGCGGCGGACGGGUGAGUAAUGUCUGGGAAACUGCCUGAUGGAGGGGGAUAACUACUGGAAACGGUAGCUAAUACCGCAUGACCUCGCAAGAGCAAAGUGGGGGACCUUCGGGCCUCACGCCAUCGGAUGUGCCCAGAUGGGAUUAGCUAGUAGGUGGGGUAAUGGCUCACCUAGGCGACGAUCCCUAGCUGGUCUGAGAGGCUGACCAGCCACACUGGAACUGAGACACGGUCCAGACUCCUACGGGAGGCAGCAGUGGGGAAUAUUGCACAAUGGGCGCAAGCCUGAUGCAGCCAUGCCGCGUGUGUGAAGAAGGCCUUAGGGUUGUAAAGCACUUUCAGCGAGGAGGAAGGCGCUGUAGUUAAUAGCUGCAGCGAUUGACGUUACUCGCAGAAGAAGCACCGGCUAACUCCGUGCCAGCAGCCGCGGUAAUACGGAGGGUGCAAGCGUUAAUCGGAAUUACUGGGCGUAAAGCGCACGCAGGCGGUUUGUUAAGUCAGAUGUGAAAUCCCCGAGCUUAACUUGGGAACUGCAUUUGAAAGCUGGCAAGCUAGAGUCUUGUAGAGGGGGGUAGAAUUCCAGGUGUAGCGGUGAAAUGCGUAGAGAUCUGGAGGAAUACCGGUGGCGAAGGCGGCCCCCUGGACAAAGACUGACGCUCAGGUGCGAAAGCGUGGGGAGCAAAC
RNAcentral lists this ribosomal RNA (752 nucleotides) under uncultured bacterium. RNAcentral's name for it is "bacterial SSU rRNA". It matches the Rfam family "Bacterial small subunit ribosomal RNA", at positions 33 to 773 of the family's 1533-position model. The record is from RNAcentral.